UAUUAGGUUGGUGCAAAAGUGAUUGUGGUUUUUGCCACUUAAAGUAAUGGCAAAAACUGCAAUUACUUUUGCACCGACUUAAUA
RNAcentral lists this microRNA precursor (84 nucleotides) under Cebus imitator (Panamanian white-faced capuchin). Its description in RNAcentral is "miRNA (ENSCCAG00000020501.1)". The record is from Rfam by way of RNAcentral. Lineage: Eukaryota; Metazoa; Chordata; Mammalia; Primates; Cebidae.